UACGUAGGGGGCAAGCGUUGUCCGGAUUUAUUGGGCGUAAAGAGCGUGUAGGCGGCUAGGUAGGUCCGUUGUGAAAACUCGAGGCUCAACCUCGAGACGCCGGUGGAAACCAUCUAGCUAGAGUCCGGAAGAGGAGAGUGGAAUUCCUGGUGUAGCGGUGAAAUGCGCAGAUAUCAGGAGGAACACCGGUGGCGAAGGCGGCAUCCUGGACCAACACUGACACUGAGGAGCGAAAGCCAGGGGAGCAAACGGG
Molecule: ribosomal RNA, 253 nt
Filed under: uncultured bacterium
Lineage: Bacteria
Description: partial 16S ribosomal RNA
Rfam family: Bacterial small subunit ribosomal RNA
Source: RNAcentral